AUCGCGGAUGCGAAACUGCCUGAUAUGCAGGCAGGAUGGGAACAGAUGAAUUCAAAUCUGAUGGCGGGUUUGACGGGGUUGAACAUGGUUUAUGAAUCUG
Molecule: regulatory RNA element, 100 nt
Organism: Rhodobacteraceae bacterium HIMB11
Lineage: Bacteria; Pseudomonadati; Pseudomonadota; Alphaproteobacteria; Rhodobacterales; Paracoccaceae
Rfam family: Pyrrolysine insertion sequence mttB
Source: Rfam